RNAcentral lists this ribosomal RNA (464 nucleotides) under Bacillus subtilis. RNAcentral's name for it is "bacterial SSU rRNA". It matches the Rfam family "Bacterial small subunit ribosomal RNA", at positions 68 to 533 of the family's 1533-position model. The record is from RNAcentral. Lineage: Bacteria; Bacillati; Bacillota; Bacilli; Caryophanales; Bacillaceae.
GACAGAUGGGAGCUUGCUCCCUGAUGUUAGCGGCGGACGGGUGAGUAACACGUGGGUAACCUGCCUGUAAGACUGGGAUAACUCCGGGAAACCGGGGCUAAUACCGGAUGCUUGUUUGAACCGCAUUUCAAACAUAAAAGGUGGCUUCGCCCACUUACAGAUGGACCCGCGGCGCAUUAGCUAGUUGGUGAGGUAACGGCUCACCAAGGCAACGAUGCGUAGCCGACCUGAGAGGGUGAUCGGCCACACUGGGAAGACACGGCCCUCCUACGGGAGGCAGCAGUAGGGAAUCUUCCGCAAUGGACGAAAGUCUCGGAGCAACGCCGCGUGAGUGAUGAAGGUUCGGAUCGUAAAGCUCUGUUGUUAGGGAAACAAGUACCGUUCGAAUAGGGCGGUACCUUGACGGUACCUAACCAGAAAGCCACGGCUAACUACGUGCCAGCAGCCGCGGUAAUACGUAGGUG